This 760-nucleotide long non-coding RNA is filed under the name Callithrix jacchus (white-tufted-ear marmoset). RNAcentral's name for it is "lncRNA (ENSCJAG00000075220.1)". Lineage: Eukaryota; Metazoa; Chordata; Mammalia; Primates; Cebidae. The record is from RNAcentral.
GCCGAGGCAGCGCGGCUGGCCGGAAUUAAAAGCACUGUAUUUCCUAUGGGAGCCUGUGUGGUGGAAAGGAUUGUUCUAUUGGUGUUGCACUGAGAAACUUACAAUCAAUUCCAAGAAUUCCUCCAGAAGCCUGAGGCUUGAAAGCACUUGCUGCAGUCAACACCUUAUAAGCCGUCAGAUCUCUGCAAAGUAACCAUAGAUGAAGUGUAUUUACAUUGGAAAGAGAAAACUGUGCUAUGGUCCAUCUUCUUCUGGGAUCAAUGAAGGAUCUCUCAUCCAUUCUCAUGCUUCUGAUACUGUCAAUUCAGGAUUCAGUGAAGUCUCCAAGUGCUACAUAUUCUAUAAACAUAAUGAAUUGCUAUGGAAGACUACAAAGGUGGCUCUCAAGUCCCACACAUAAAAGUAAUUUGUAAGCUUCUUAAUACCACCAUGCUGGGGGUCUUGUCUACAGAAAUAAAGGAAUAAAAUAAGGUGAGGAUUAACAGAUAUUCUUACUCCUUCUUUCAAACGCUUCCCAGCCCUUUUUCAAAAUUGACUGCACAAUAUUAGCAAGUUUAUAUUUUUAUACUUUUUCUUCAUGCCUUCAUUAGCUGUGCAGUUUAUGCCUCUGCUUACCUCUGGAUAGGUGUGCUUUAACUUGCUUUGUUCUCUAUGUCAUAUAGCUUGAGGAAUUUAAAUUACAGCAUGUUCUAUAACUGGUAGAACACCUGUGGGGUUGGGCUGCUUAUUAUUUAAUGUAGGCUUCAUCAGAACUUUUUUA